This 253-nucleotide ribosomal RNA is filed under the name uncultured bacterium. RNAcentral's name for it is "partial 16S ribosomal RNA". It matches the Rfam family "Bacterial small subunit ribosomal RNA", at positions 524 to 776 of the family's 1533-position model. The record is from RNAcentral.
UACAGAGGUCCCGAGCGUUGUUCGGAUUCACUGGGCGUAAAGGGUGCGUAGGUGGUGAGGUAAGUCGGAUGUGAAAUCUCCAGACUCAACCUGGAAACUGCAUUGGAAACUACCUUGCUGGAGGACUUGAGGGGGGAUUGGAAUACUUGGUGUAGCAGUGAAAUGCGUAGAUAUCAAGUGGAACACCAGUGGCGAAGGCGAAUCCCUGGAAAAUACCUGACACUGAGGCACGAAAGCUAGGGGAGCAAACAGG